RNAcentral lists this unclassified non-coding RNA (230 nucleotides) under Hevea brasiliensis (rubber tree). The record is from RNAcentral. Lineage: Eukaryota; Viridiplantae; Streptophyta; Magnoliopsida; Malpighiales; Euphorbiaceae.
AGGAAAGGUUUGUCAAGUUGCCUCACAGGGUCAGGAAUGUAUUCAUCCACGGCAUCCAUUAACUUCAAGAUGGCUUUUUUCCCAAUUUCUUCAUUUGUUCCUUGUAGAGCAGACAAUGCUGAUCCCUGAAUGAUAGGAAUUUCAUCUCCAGGAAACUUGUAGAAAUUAAGCAGUUGAAGUUCCAUUUCCACAAGCUCUAACAACUCUGGAUCAUCAACGGCAUCAACUUU